Molecule: ribosomal RNA, 406 nt
Filed under: uncultured bacterium
Lineage: Bacteria
Description: partial 16S ribosomal RNA
Rfam family: Bacterial small subunit ribosomal RNA
Source: RNAcentral
AUUGAACGCUGGCGGCAGGCCUAACACAUGCAAGUCGAACGAGUGGCGGAAGGGUGAGUAAUGUCUGGGAAACUGCCUGAUGGAGGGGGAUAACUACUGGAAACGGUAGCUAAUAACGCAUACAAUCAGAUGUGCCCAGAUGGGAUUAGCUUGUUGGUGGGGUAACGGAUCACCAAGGCGACGAUCCCUAGCUGGGCUGGGAGGAUGACAAGCCACACUGGAACUGAGACACGGUCCAGACUCGUACGUGAGGCAGCAGUGGGGAAUUUUGCACAAGGGGCGAAAGCCUGAUGCAGCCAUGCCGCGUGUAUGAAGAAGGCCUUCGGGUUGUAAAGUACUUUCAGCGGGGAGGCGUUACCCGAAGAAGAAGCCCCGGCUAACUCCGUGCCAGCAGCCGCGGUAAUAC